Molecule: ribosomal RNA, 253 nt
Filed under: uncultured bacterium
Lineage: Bacteria
Description: partial 16S ribosomal RNA
Rfam family: Bacterial small subunit ribosomal RNA
Source: RNAcentral
UACAGAGGGUGCGAGCGUUAAUCGGAAUUACUGGGCGUAAAGCGCACGUAGGUGGCGACGUAAGUCGGGUGUGAAAGCCCCGGGCUCAACCUGGGAAUUGCAUUCGAGACUGCAUUGCUGGAGUACGGAAGAGGAAGGCGGAAUUCCCGGUGUAGCGGUGAAAUGCGCAGAUAUCAGGAGGAACACCGGUGGCGAAGGCGGGUCUCUGGGCCGAUACUGACGCUGAGGAGCGAAAGCGUGGGGAGCAAACAGG